Molecule: long non-coding RNA, 659 nt
Filed under: Hordeum vulgare
Lineage: Eukaryota; Viridiplantae; Streptophyta; Magnoliopsida; Poales; Poaceae
Description: long non-coding RNA (HVUL_LNC000194)
Source: RNAcentral
AGGGGCCGCCGCCGUGGCCCUUGCGAUCUCGCCAGCCACCACGGGAGACCCGCAUCCAUGCCACACCAUGCAGGGCGUGUGCUGGAGAUGCUGCGGGCUGGACAUGCCUAAGGCCAUAGACGUGGUGCAUCACCUCGCAUGCUCUCGCUGGACUAUGUGGACCACGAGAUCCACCACGUCCACAAGGAGCACAUGGCAACGACCAUGUUGACGACACCAGGAUCCACGUCGAUCUGGAUUGUGGAUCUGAUCAGGGAAGCCGCCAUUAAGCGCGCUAGGCGAGAAGAACGCAUAGCUAAUAUUGCAUGCCAAGCGAUGAAAGCAGCAAGAUUGCACGAGAAGAAUGAGGUGCUGAUGGAGCUCGUGGCAGUGGUGGAUCUUGACGGUGCGGCACUGCUGAAUCUAGGCUGGCUUACGCUGUUCCUUGCACACCAGGAGCAGUACGUGAAGAUGGAGCGCGCCAGAACAACAAGAUAGAAGAUGGCUGAACUGGAGAUGAGCAACUACACGCUCGAUGGCAUAUCAUGCCCAGGGCCCUCGGUGAGCUUCUGCUCCAGUCCAAUUCCUGCACUUGUUGGUCUCUUUUUGAAGCCCCGACAAAUAUGAUGAUUUGGUUUUUUAGAAUUCUUAUAUAUGUCCUAUAAAAAGUUUGCUUUAUU